Long non-coding RNA from Thalassophryne amazonica, 457 nucleotides. RefSeq lists it as uncharacterized. Lineage: Eukaryota; Metazoa; Chordata; Actinopteri; Batrachoidiformes; Batrachoididae. The record is from RefSeq and is a predicted model, not a curated record. The transcript has 3 exons.
AAAUGUUACAAAAGAGUUGCACAAUGAUAUUUUCAGGAAAUGUUGUGUUUGUGUCAUGGCUUUGGUAAAUGUGGUGUAAUGAAGUGUUUAUUUCAAAGAUGCUAAAUAUCAAUUUCCAGGGUUUGUUUGUGGAGUUUCUAUCAAAUCUAGACAAUCGAGGUUGUGAAAGCUUCAUUACUUUAAUAAUGUCUGAAAUCAGUUGCUUAAAUUUUGUACUUGAAGUCAUGUUACAUUCAAUUUGGUUUUGGAGCUGAACUCUUGUAAAGGGACGCUAACACAGCUCAGGGCUAUCAGUGCAUUGAGAUUAAGGACUGGAGUUGUGCGAUGUGACCACAGCGGUUUAUUUUUCAGGAAUGUUUUUAAUGUCACCUCUUAUUUACAGCAGCAGAUGAAGAGCGCCACAUUUUUUGACUCUGUAAAGGAUUCGGGCAACAAAAACAAAAUUAGCGACAACAAA